This 459-nucleotide ribosomal RNA is filed under the name uncultured Micrococcineae bacterium. RNAcentral describes it as "bacterial SSU rRNA". It matches the Rfam family "Bacterial small subunit ribosomal RNA", at positions 8 to 478 of the family's 1533-position model. Lineage: Bacteria; Bacillati; Actinomycetota; Actinomycetes; Micrococcales. The record is from RNAcentral.
AGAGUUUGAUCCUGGCUCAGGAUGAACGCUGGCGGCGUGCUUAACACAUGCAAGUCGAACGAUGACCCGGUGCUUGCACCGGUGAUUAGUGGCGAACGGGUGAGUAACACGUGAGUAACCUGCCCUUAACUCUGGGAUAAGCCUGGGAAACUGGGUCUAAUACCGGAUAUGACUCCUCAUCGCAUGGUGCGGGGUGGAAAGCUUUAUUGUGGUUUUGGAUGGACUCGCGGCCUAUCAGCUUGUUGGUGAGGUAAUGGCUCACCAAGGCGACGACGGGUAGCCGGCCUGAGAGGGUGACCGGCCACACUGGGACUGAGACACGGCCCAGACUCCUACGGGAGGCAGCAGUGGGGAAUAUUGCACAAUGGGCGAAAGCCUGAUGCAGCGACGCCGCGUGAGGGAUGACGGCCUUCGGGUUGUAAACCUCUUUCAGUAGGGAAGAAGCGAAAGUGACGGUAC